AUUGAACGCUGGCGGCAUGCCUUACACAUGCAAGUCGAACGGCAGCGCGGGGCAACCUGGCGGCGAGUGGCGAACGGGUGAGUAACAUAUCGGAACAUACCCUAGAGUGGGGGAUAACGUAGCGAAAGUUACGCUAAUACCGCAUACGCACUAAGGUGGAAAGUGGGGGAUCUUCGGACCUCAUGCUCAUGGAGUGGCCGAUAUCUGAUUAGCUAGUUGGUGAGGUAAAGGCUCACCAAGGCGACGAUCAGUAGCUGGUUUGAGAGAACGACCAGCCACACUGGAACUGAGACACGGUCCAGACUCCUACGGGAGGCAGCAGUGGGGAAUUUUGGACAAUGGGGGGCAACCCUGAUCCAGCAAUGCCGCGUGAGUGAAGAAGGCCUCGG
RNAcentral lists this ribosomal RNA (389 nucleotides) under uncultured bacterium. Its description in RNAcentral is "bacterial SSU rRNA". It matches the Rfam family "Bacterial small subunit ribosomal RNA", at positions 30 to 420 of the family's 1533-position model. The record is from RNAcentral.